AUAAAGAUACACACACAUACAGAUGCACACACUGACAAACAGAAACAAACACAGACACAAACACUGACAGACAUACAUACACAGACACACAGAUUGACAGACACAGACACACGCACUAACAGACAUAGAGAUAUACACACACAUACAGACAUACAGUUACAGACACAUGCACUGACAGACAUACAGAUACACACACAGACAGACAUACAGAUACACACACACAUACACACACUGACAGACAUACAGAUACACAUAUACACACACACAGUCACGCACUGACAGACAUACAGAUACACACACACAGUCACACACUGACAGACAUACAGAUAUACACACAGAGACACACACACAUGCUGAUCAUAUAUAUUUUUAUAGCCACGCUCCUGUUUUCUACCUUUUGGGUGCAGGAGGGUGGCAUCCCUGAAAUCCAGUGUGAAGAUCUGGCUGAGGUAGUUGGGAGUUAGGGACAGCCCCUUCUCUCCUCUCUGAUGUCCCACGCUGCUCCAAUCAUGCCGAUACGGAGGGGGCGGUAGUUCCAGUUCCUGCAUGGCGCCAGCCGCGCUGUGUGUUAUGCAGGGAGCAGGGAUAUGACGUGCUCAUAUCCCCGCCCCUUCACGCAGUUCGUGGCAUGAUG
Pelobates cultripes (western spadefoot toad) is the source of this 634-nucleotide non-coding RNA. The record is from the annotation of a GenBank genome assembly. NCBI's taxonomy places the organism in Eukaryota, Metazoa, Chordata, Amphibia, Anura, Pelobatidae.